GACAGAGGUGGCAAGCGUUGUUCGGAAUUACUGGGCGUAAAGCGCACGUAGGCGGUUCGGUAAGGCCUUUGUGAAAUCCUACCGCUUAACGGUAGAAUGUCAGGGGCGACUGCCGGACUAGAGGUUGGGAGAGGAGAGUGGAAUUCCCGGUGUAGCGGUGAAAUGCGUAGAUAUCGGGAGGAAGGCCGGUGGCGAAGGCGACUCUCUGGAACAAUUCUGACGCUGAGGUGCGAAAGCGUGGGGAGCAAACAGG
RNAcentral lists this ribosomal RNA (253 nucleotides) under uncultured bacterium. RNAcentral describes it as "partial 16S ribosomal RNA". It matches the Rfam family "Bacterial small subunit ribosomal RNA", at positions 524 to 776 of the family's 1533-position model. The record is from RNAcentral.